This 460-nucleotide ribosomal RNA is filed under the name uncultured bacterium. RNAcentral describes it as "bacterial SSU rRNA". It matches the Rfam family "Bacterial small subunit ribosomal RNA", at positions 342 to 807 of the family's 1533-position model. The record is from RNAcentral.
CGGGAGGCAGCAGUUAGGAAUCUUCCGCAAUGGGCGCAAGCCUGACGGAGCGACGCCGCUUGGAGGAUGAAGCCCUUCGGGGUGUAAACUCCUGAACUGGGGGCGAAAUCCCUGAUGAGGGGGCUGACGGUACCCAGGUAAUAGCGCCGGCCAACUCCGUGCCAGCAGCCGCGGUAAUACGGAGGGCGCGAGCGUUACCCGGAUUUACUGGGCGUAAAGGGCGUGUAGGCGGUUUGGUGCGUCUGGCGUUAAAGACCGCGGCUCAACCGUGGGGUGCGCUGGAUACGGCCAAGCUAGACGGCUGGAGGGGGUGGUGGAAUUCCCGGAGUAGCGGUGAAAUGCGCAGAUACCGGGAGGAACGCCGAUAGCGAAGGCAGCCACCUGGCCAGUUUGUGACGCUGAGGCGCGAGAGCGUGGGGAGCAAACCGGAUUAGAUACCCGGGUAGUCCACACCCUAAAC